Macaca mulatta (Rhesus monkey) is the source of this 3531-nucleotide long non-coding RNA. The record is from Ensembl. Lineage: Eukaryota; Metazoa; Chordata; Mammalia; Primates; Cercopithecidae.
CUCUGGGCCUCACUGUGUGGACCAGCGUCCGCCUGGUGCUGGGAAUCCUCAGGGAGCCCCAGCUGUGGAGGCCGCCCCAGGCCAAGCAGGGCCACCUGCCCUGGGGUGGGGUCUGGUUCUUAGUGGCUGGGACAGUGUUGGGCGUGCUGGCCGGGGGUUCUGAGAGCCCUGUGAGCCAGGAGGCUGCGGUGUAGACUGCUUAUUGCUGAGCCGGGCAGGCUCAGGAGGGAGAGAUGGCCCCUUCCCUGGACAAGCAAUUCUUGCUCACGUGUGCUUUCCAGGCCCUUGACGCAAGCAGAGACGCAUGGGGAGAUAAGGGCUGGAGGAGGGCGUGUGGACAGGCUGGCCCCGUCCCAGCUCCCGGGCCAGCAGCCCCCGGCCCCCGGCCCUCGCCGCCCGCCCACCGGGCCCUGCCUCAGCACUCUUCCCACAGCAGGUCUUUGUGCCCCAAUCUGGCAGGUGCGGGGGUGGGACGGGGUCCUUGGCAUGAAGCAGCCCUCUGGCUGCAUGUGACAGUGGCGGCCAAGGUCUCCCCUGUGCAUAAAUGUGGACCUCGCUGGGCAGCAGCAGAACUCCAGGCUCAGAGAGUUCUCCACCGCUCCUCCUGGCUCAGAUUUCUCCACGCUCCUCCGGCUCAGAGUUCUCCACCGUUCCUCCGGCUCAGAGAGUUCUCCACUGUUCCUCCCAGGCUCACAGGCUACCCAACGCCAGCGGCCCAGGAGGCUGGACCAGAGAAGCUGCAGCGUGUGGGGCCCACUUGUUACACCAGCGGGAGGCGGAGGGCCCAGGCGCAGACGGCAGCGAGGCGUGGCCGAGGACGCGUGCACUCUGGGUCUGCACGCUUUUGCUGCUGCCUUUUUUUUUUUUUGAGACAGUCUCGCUCUGUUGCCCAGGCUGGAGUGCAGUGGCGGGAUCUCGGCUCACUGCAAGCUCCAUCUUCCAGGUUUAAGCGACUUUCCUGCCUCAGCCUUCCAAGUAGCUGAGACUACAGGCACCUGCCACCAUGCCUGGCUAAGUUUUGUAUUUUUAGUAGAGAUGGGGUUUCACCUUUUUAGGCUGGUCUUGAACUCCUGACCUCGUGAUCCACCUGCCUUGGCCUCCCAAAGUACUGGGAUUACAGGCAUGAGCCACCGCGCCCGGCCAGCGUUUGCUUCUUAACACCUUUAUUACUUUUGUAAUCACGGGUAUGAGUUGAUUUUCUGGUCAGAAAUGUCAGUAGAGCUAAUUUCAUUUAAAUGUGUGAGGUGUGGUAAAGUUUUGAUAAUAAAUGCAAAUUUUGAUAAAGAGGCUCUGUCGUGCUGGUCUCCUCUCAUUCGCGGUGGUCGGAUGUCACAUUAGUCAAGCGUGGACUUGGGGGAACUUAGUUAAAAAUGUGUGAACCUAAGGGGGAUGAAAUGGGUCCUGGGGCCUUGGUUGGGGGCCUGGGCUGGGCACCGGUCUGGGGCCACCCUCCUGAUGACCAGGGUCGCUGGAACAAGUCCAGAGCCUGGGACCGGCUGGCAGUGUUGGGAGAGCCCAGAGGGACGGCUUGUGAGGGUGCGGGACACUGGUCUGCCCUGGGUGGGGGUCCUGUGGCUUCCCAGCCUCCACAAUGGCCAGGGUGGGACUGUGGUCUUGACUUCCCGCUGAUGAAAAAUGGACAGGGGGUCCCUCAUCACGCUGGUUUAAAGAAUGACUGUCGGCUGCUGUCUUAAAAGGAGGCCUGAAUGGGAGGCCGGGAGACCCCACCCUUCAGCCAGAGUCCUUGCCAGCCGGCAGGGCCACGCCCAGGUCUUUGAAGGCCGCAGCCUUUGCUACCAAUGAGCCCAGCAAACAGAGCAAUGAGCCGGCUGAGCGGGAGGCCUCCAGGCGCCCUUAUCGGGGUUGCCUCCCCCCGGCUGCGUCUCCUCUCCAAGCCUAGCACUAAUCUCAUCUGAUAGUCACCUCCCACCUCCCUCACAGCCGGCAGCCUGGGUGUCCCAGGGGAAACCUCGGGCAGCAGGCAGAGGGGUGGGUGCCUCCAGCUGGGACGGCUGCAGGUCACAUGUGGAAGGGCAGCCACGCCCCCCACCCCGAUGAGCUCGGCUGCUCCCCCCAGCCCCCUGGGGAACGGUGGAGGUUGACCCCGCUCAGGAGUCUCUUCCAGGCCUUUGAGUCACUCUCCACAGGACACCUUAACACAGGGUUUUAAAUCUGCACAGACUAAAGCAGGUGUCACCUCACUGUGCUGUGUGGACACGCAGCAGCUACAGACGGCGUCAACCGAAUGGCGGAUGCAGGCACGGCUGGAUCCAGGGAGCCAAAGGCUCUGCCUCACUCUGUGCUCGUACCCUACUCGGCUCUGUUCCUCUGCUUCACUUUGCGCUCGCUUGUACCCUGCCUGGCUCUGUCCCCGCAGGGCUGUCAUCAACAGCACCUGCUGGGCUGUGAGAGGAGACGCCCCUGCUCUCCAGCACGGUGGCCAUUUCCCCAGAAGAGCUGUGGUUCCGAGUCCAAGCAGCCCCUCCCUGCAGUUUCCUGGAUAGUCUCAGGUGCAGAAUCUAAAAGAGAAGUGCACGAGCCCUGCGGACUCCCCGCGGAGAGGGCAGUGGAUAUUCUGCCAUAUUUAUGUCAUGCUGUGUUUUGAACCCUUUGAAUGUCAGUUUCAGAUCUGAGGCCCUGAGUGCUGCCUCUGGAGACAGGGUUUCUCCACACCUGAGGACACGGACCACUCCCCAGCACUGUCCUGAGCCCUCGGAAUCGUCCCCACCAGCUGUACGGGUCCGUGCUUUCCCACACUUCUUCAUCACGGCUCAUGCGUGCGUCUGCGGCUGUGUCGCCUCGGCCUCUGCACCAAGGGCACCCCACCCUCUCCCAGAGGCUUCUGCAGGAGCCCAGCUGAGUCCCCUGGGAGUCCCCGAGGGUUCCUGUCCACUGGAAGUUAGAUGUGGAGGUUCCCAGAGAUUCUUGGCAAGAUUAUUUCAUAGCAACUGCCCCUCCUACCCAACCUGCAGGGAAGGAGCCGGCACAGCCCUUGGCCCCACGUGGCUGAACAGCUCAGAGGGAAAGGAGGGUGAGCAGGAGCCUGGCGGCAUCCAGCAGCCCCCGGCCCAUCGGCAGCCAGAGCUCGCCGGCGUCCACACCCGGGCCCACAGCCUCUCUGUCCUGACAGCCGCUCGGGUUACAUACAGAGAGGACAAGGCAGUGACAAAGGGUGUCUGGGGCUUGGGACAGACACAUGACACACACACAGCACACACGUUCACUACAUGACACACGCAUAGCACACGUUCACUACACACCCACACACAUUCUACACAAAACACGCACAGCACACACGUUCACUACACACGACACACACAGUACACAUGUUCACUACACACCCACGUACACUGCACAAGUUCACCAUACAACAUGCACAGCACAUACGACACACACGUAGUGCACAUACACAACACACAGUAGACACGUUCACUACACAUGCACACAUGCUACAUACGACACAGCACUCAUUACACAUGCAGAACACACACGAUACACAGUAACACCACACGUGCAUAGCUACACACGCAU